GCUGAUGCGUUGUUGGGUAGGGGAGCGUUCUGUAAGCCUGCGAAGGUGACCUGUGAGGGUUGCUGGAGGUAUCAGAAGUGCGAAUGCUGACAUAAGUAACGAUAAAGCGGGUGAAAAGCCCGCUCGCCGGAAGACCAAGGGUUCCUGUCCAACGUUAAUCGGGGCAGGGUGAGUCGACCCCUAAGGCGAGGCCGAAAGGCGUAGUCGAUGGGAAACGGGUUAAUAUUCCCGUACUUGGUGUUACUGCGAAGGGGGGACGGAGAAGGCUAUGUUGGCCGGGCGACGGUUGUCCCGGUUUAAGCGUGUAGGUGUGUGUUCCAGGUAAAUCCGGUUCACUUUAACACUGAGGCGUGAUGACGAGGCACUACGGUGCUGAAGCAACAAAUGCCCUGCUUCCAGGAAAAGCCUCUAAGCAUCAGGUAACAUCAAAUCGUACCCCAAACCGACACAGGUGGUCAGGUAGAGAAUACCAAGGCGCUUGAGAGAACUCGGGUGAAGGAACUAGGCAAAAUGGUGCCGUAACUUCGGGAGAAGGCACGCUGACACGUAGGUGAAGUGAUUUACUCACGGAGCUGAAGUCAGUCGAAGAUACCAGCUGGCUGCAACUGUUUAUUAAAAACACAGCACUGUGCAAACACGAAAGUGGACGUAUACGGUGUGACGCCUGCCCGGUGCCGGAAGGUUAAUUGAUGGGGUCAGCGCAAGCGAAGCUCCUGAUCGAAGCCCCGGUAAACGGCGGCCGUAACUAUAACGGUCCUAAGGUAGCGAAAUUCCUUGUCGGGUAAGUUCCGACCUGCACGAAUGGCGUAAUGAUGGCCAGGCUGUCUCCACCCGAGACUCAGUGAAAUUGAACUCGCUGUGAAGAUGCAGUGUACCCGCGGCAAGACGGAAAGACCCCGUGAACCUUUACUAUAGCUUGACACUGAACAUUGAGCCUUGAUGUGUAGGAUAGGUGGGAGGCUUUGAAGUGUGGACGCCAGUCUGCAUGGAGCCGACCUUGAAAUACCACCCUUUAAUGUUUGAUGUUCUAACGUGGACCCGUAAUCCGGGUUGCGGACAGUGUCUGGUGGGUAGUUUGACUGGGGCGGUCUCCUCCUAAAGAGUAACGGAGGAGCACGAAGGUUGGCUAAUCCUGGUCGGACAUCAGGAGGUUAGUGCAAUGGCAUAAGCCAGCUUGACUGCGAGCGUGACGGCGCGAGCAGGUGCGAAAGCAGGUCAUAGUGAUCCGGUGGUUCUGAAUGGAAGGGCCAUCGCUCAACGGAUAAAAGGUACUCCGGGGAUAACAGGCUGAUACCGCCCAAGAGUUCAUAUCGACGGCGGUGUUUGGCACCUCGAUGUCGGCUCAUCACAUCCUGGGGCUGAAGUAGGUCCCAAGGGUAUGGCUGUUCGCCAUUUAAAGUGGUACGCGAGCUGGGUUUAGAACGUCGUGAGACAGUUCGGUCCCUAUCUGCCGUGGGCGCUGGAGAACUGAGGGGGGCUGCUCCUAGUACGAGAGGACCGGAGUGGACGCAUCACUGGUGUUCGGGUUGUCAUGCCAAUGGCACUGCCCGGUAGCUAAAUGCGGAAGAGAUAAGUGCUGAAAGCAUCUAAGCACGAAACUUGCCCCGAGAUGAGUUCUCCCUGAG
This 1625-nucleotide ribosomal RNA is filed under the name Salmonella enterica subsp. enterica serovar Typhimurium. Its description in RNAcentral is "partial 23S ribosomal RNA". It matches the Rfam family "Bacterial large subunit ribosomal RNA", at positions 1213 to 2819 of the family's 2925-position model. The record is from RNAcentral. Lineage: Bacteria; Pseudomonadati; Pseudomonadota; Gammaproteobacteria; Enterobacterales; Enterobacteriaceae.